CCUUGCGACAUCAAUAGACACUGCCCCCACAAUAAAGAAAAAGCCAAGAAAAUGAUUUCUUUCACAUGACCCAAGAGUAAAAAUAUUUGACAUACAAAUAACUUCAGUGUAAAAACCCAUCACGCCACCCCACGCCACCCCCACUCCCACGCCCACUCCUUUCUCUGCUAGUGUUUUCUGUCGAGCUUUUGCAGCAAAUUUGGCUCUGAAAUCAGUAACAGAAAAGUUUCCAACAAAACUAUGAGCUGAAAACACAAAAUUUUUAUUACACUGCAGCAAAAUCUAUGCAUAUUGAAUCUUCAUCCCCACUGCACCCACCCCACCCCCCACCAUUGACCUUGCUGCUAUCUUCUUUAAACUCCAAGGUAUCCACCUAAACAAAAAGUUCGACAUACUUUAUGAAAAUUCCUUUCCAUUUUCAACCCACGUCUAGAAAUCAUUUUUUUCUGCUGAAGAAAUAAGUAAAAGUAGAGAAGCUUUUUUGGAUCGGAAUCCCAUGCCAUGACUAGGGAUUUUCACAAGAAAGGUAAACAUAUGGGCAGAGAAUUGGGUUGCUUCUUGUGUAUUCUUCUGCUGAUUCUUGCACAGUGGGAGAUUAAUCCAUGUUUUGCAGUAAGAGAUCAAAAUGCUUCUUUUUCUGCUAUGGAUUCUAUUAAAAUCCAUAAGGGCUCCAAAGAAAAUGCAACGGAAAAGAAUGGAAAAAAUAAUUUUGGUGCAGAAAUGAGGAAAGUUUACACAGGUCCAAAUCCUCUACACAACAGAUAAGUAGCAGCAAAAAUUUACCAAGCUUAAAUUCUCUCAUUCAGGCUUAAUAUAUAUAUAUAUUUUUUGGUUUUUAAUUUACAUGGCAUUUUUUCCCUUUGAUCUUCUCAUUUACCUUUUGCAACGAAAAAAUCAGAUUACAUCGUCCACAACGAGAAUAACUUCAUCGUUGGGUCAUCGAAAAAGGUCGGUGAAGCGAAAAUCUGUUAUCUGUGGGCUCCUGUAAACCUUACAUUUGUAUAUGAAAAUUAUUUAUGAGUUUUUGUUGAGAAAAUAUGUUUAUUUGUUUGAAGAAGAGUUAUAAAACAUGAAAUAAUAUUUUUUAGUUCACAAUUUUCUGAAUAAUAAUGCCACUAGAUAAUGCAGUUUUUGGUAUGAUGAAUGUCUGAUAUUUUCUACAGUUGUUUGUCAAAUUCAUCUUGUAACAAUGACAUAGUGAAGAAAUGUCUUUGCAUAGUUAUUUAUUUAUUUUAAAUUUUUUUAUCUUCCAUUUAUAAUCUCAUAAAACUCAUUUUAUAAUCAAACAUAUGAAUAUAUAUGUACCUACAGUAGAUGGAUAUGAAUAUAUUAGAUUAUAUUGGAU
This 1345-nucleotide long non-coding RNA is filed under the name Olea europaea subsp. europaea. Lineage: Eukaryota; Viridiplantae; Streptophyta; Magnoliopsida; Lamiales; Oleaceae. The record is from RNAcentral.